RNAcentral lists this ribosomal RNA (483 nucleotides) under uncultured bacterium. Its description in RNAcentral is "partial 16S ribosomal RNA". It matches the Rfam family "Bacterial small subunit ribosomal RNA", at positions 30 to 506 of the family's 1533-position model. The record is from RNAcentral.
AUUGAACGCUGGCGGCAGGCCUAACACAUGCAAGUCGAGCGGAUGAAGGGAGCUUGCUCCUGGAUUCAGCGGCGGACGGGUGAGUAAUGCCUAGGAAUCUGCCUGGUAGUGGGGGAUAACGUCCGGAAACGGGCGCUAAUACCGCAUACGUCCUGAGGGAGAAAGUGGGGGAUCUUCGGACCUCACGCUAUCAGAUGAGCCUAGGUCGGAUUAGCUAGUUGGUGGGGUAAAGGCCUACCAAGGCGACGAUCCGUAACUGGUCUGAGAGGAUGAUCAGUCACACUGGAACUGAGACACGGUCCAGACUCCUACGGGGGGCAGCAGUGGGGAAUAUUGGACAGUGGGCGAAAGCCUGAUCCAGCCAUGCCGCGUGUGUGAAGAAGGUCUUCGGAUUGUAAAGCACUUUAAGUUGGGAGGAAGGGCAGUAAGUUAAUACCUUGCUGUUUUGACGUUACCAACAGAAUAAGCACCGGCUAACUUCGU